Molecule: non-coding RNA, 111 nt
Organism: Acanthosepion pharaonis
Lineage: Eukaryota; Metazoa; Mollusca; Cephalopoda; Sepiida; Sepiidae
Source: the annotation of a GenBank genome assembly
UACAGCCAUAUCACAUUGAAACACUAGUUUUCGUACGAUCACCAAAGUUAAGCAAUGUCGAGUCUGCUCAGUACCUAGAUGGGUGACUGCUUGGAAUACCAGGUGUUGUAA